This 790-nucleotide unclassified non-coding RNA is filed under the name Penaeus japonicus. RNAcentral's name for it is "cytochrome c oxidase subunit 3". Lineage: Eukaryota; Metazoa; Arthropoda; Malacostraca; Decapoda; Penaeidae. The record is from RNAcentral.
AUGACAUCAUCCCACGGACACCACGCCUUCCACCUAGUUGAUAUAAGACCAUGGCCUCUCACAGGGUCUAUUAGAGCAAUAAUAUUAACAACAGGACUAGUUAAAUGAUUUCAUCAAUUUAACCCAGACCUUUUAGCCUUAGGAGUUCUAGCAACUACUCUUACAAUAAUCCAAUGAUGACGAGAUAUUACCCGAGAAGGAACUUAUCAAGGUCUUCACACAAAAGCAGUUACUAUUGGACUCCGAUGAGGUAUAAUUUUAUUUAUUACGUCAGAAGUUUUAUUUUUCUUUUCAUUCUUCUGAGCCUUCUUUCAUAGAAGUCUUUCCCCUAAUGUAGAAGUAGGAAGAUGCUGGCCCCCUGCCGGAAUUCAAACUUUUAACCCAUUCCAAAUCCCUCUUCUUAAUACUGCAAUUCUUCUGGCCUCAGGUGCUACAGUUACUUGGGCUCAUCACGCAAUUAUAGAAUCUAACCAUUCUCAAGCUCUCCAAGGCCUGGCUGUUACCGUAUUUUUAGGAUUAUAUUUUACAGCCCUCCAGGCACUAGAAUACUACGAAGCUCCCUUUACAAUUGCCGAUUCAGUGUAUGGUUCUACUUUCUUUGUUGCCACCGGAUUCCACGGAUUGCACGUUAUUAUUGGGAGAACGUUUCUUAUGGUUUGUCUCUACCGCCUAUAUAAAUGUCACUUUUCAGCUGCCCAUCACUUUGGAUUUGAAGCUGCUGCCUGAUAUUGACACUUCGUUGACGUAGUUUGAUUAUUCCUCUAUAUCUCUAUCUAUUGAUGAGGAGGCU